AACAAACGCUGGCGGCGUGCCUAACACAUGCAAGUCGUACGAGAAAGUCGGCUUCGGCCGAUGAGUACAGUGGCGCACGGGUGAGUAACGCGUGGGUAAUCUGCCCCCCGGUCAGGAAUAACCCGCCGAAAGGCGGGCUAAUACCCGAUAACACUGACGCUCUGCGGAGUGUCUUUCAAAGAAGGCCUCUGUUUACAAGCUUUCGCCGGAGGAUGAGCCCGCGUACCAUUAGCUAGUUGGCAGGGUAAUGGCCUACCAAGGCAACGAUGGUUAGCUGGUCUGAGAGGAUGGCCAGCCACACUGGAACUGAGACACGGUCCAGACUCCUACGGGAGGCAGCAGUGAGGAAUCUUGCGCAAUGGGGAAACCCUGACGCAGCAACGCCGCGUGAGUGAGGAAGGCCUUCGGGUCGUAAAGCUCUGUCAGAUGGAAGAAAUGGGUGGGGCGUAAGUAUCGUCCAUCCUUGACGGUACCAUCAGAGGAAGCACCGGCUAACUCCG
Molecule: ribosomal RNA, 500 nt
Filed under: uncultured bacterium
Lineage: Bacteria
Description: bacterial SSU rRNA
Rfam family: Bacterial small subunit ribosomal RNA
Source: RNAcentral